Molecule: ribosomal RNA, 332 nt
Filed under: uncultured bacterium
Lineage: Bacteria
Description: bacterial SSU rRNA
Rfam family: Bacterial small subunit ribosomal RNA
Source: RNAcentral
CGCGUAGGUGGUUCGAUCAGUCGGAGGUGAAAGCCCUCGACUCAACCGAGGAUCCGCGUCCGAUACUGUCGAACUUGAGUGCAGGAGAGGAGAGCGGAAUUCCCAGUGUAGCGGUGAAAUGCGUAGAUAUUGGGAGGAACACCGGUGGCGAAGGCGGCUCUCUGGACUGCCACUGACACUGAGGCGCGAAAGCUAGGGGAGCAAACGGGAUUAGAUACCCCGGUAGUCCUAGCCGUAAACGAUGGGCACUAGGUGUGGGAGGUAUCGACCCCUUCCGUGCCGCAGCUAACGCACUAAGUGCCCCGCCUGGGGAGUACGGCCGCAAGGUUGAA